UACAGCCUCUGCCCAAGGAGCCAUCCUAAAGGACUUCAGAUUGCCGUGAGGAGGUUUGCUGACAUUCACAGGAGCGACGCCAAACAGGAAUCAUCCAUCAGCCCCCACACAUUUGUGUCCAUCCUCUCAUUUCGGAGCUAAAGAUAUCAGCUGCCCCUCUCCCCGUCACCCUCCAACAGGAAAUGGAAUCCGUGCGCCAUGGUUGCAGUCAGUCAAGCAUCUCUACAGUAACACCCAGGUCAUCGUCUCUCAGCUGGGGACAUUUUCUGUCAAACCUCGACAUAAUCGAACUGUUUAAGUUUUGAUCUCGAAAUACAUUAGCUAGGAGAACAUUUCACUCGCUUUCCAUCCAGUUAAACCGUCAGAGGAGACCGUCCGCGCACCUUUCAGACUAAAAUUACGUAAGUUCCUCGCAAAGAGCGGCGAGGCUGUUGCGUAACAAGCAUCUCGAAGGACCCCAACUGCGUCUUUCGGAGCAAGGACAUGUCGUCGAUGAAAGGCCAAGGAUGUGCAGAGACCUUUAAACGAACCGCAACGUUUUCUUAUGGAACUGGGAAGCAGCAGAUGACUGACGUGUCCUGUAGAUUUGACCUCACGCGGUUUGACCAUAUGGAUUGUGUGCUGUCUGAGAAUGGCAAUGCACUGAUGCCGUCAACUCUAAUCAUGGCUGAUUUAAAGAUUAGCAAACAAUGUGUGGAUGUCAUCUGUCCCUUCCUCUCUGGGGCGUCUCUUUCACUCUCUGCUUUAAAUGUCUGUCUCUAAUGGAUAUAUCAUUUCUAUCGAUACUUUAUUUUGACUGUAAAUUGACACUUGCGAUGGAGUGUUGACCUAGAUAGGAAAUAAAGGGUGUGUCCAUGUAAAUGUGCACAAUGCUUUGGGGACUCUCUCUAUAUCUGGGGGCCGUGCUGAUUUGCUGCUUAAAGUCGAUGUGAAAUCAUAAUGCAUAUUUAGUUUGGUAAUAAAUUGUACUGGUUUAUUUGUGAA
This is a long non-coding RNA of Puntigrus tetrazona (Sumatra barb), 984 nucleotides long. RefSeq lists it as uncharacterized. The transcript has 2 exons. The record is from RefSeq and is a predicted model, not a curated record. NCBI's taxonomy places the organism in Eukaryota, Metazoa, Chordata, Actinopteri, Cypriniformes, Cyprinidae.